GCUAAGUUUUAGGUACUUCCAUGUUUCUACUGUGGUCCAAAUGACUAGUCAGCAUGGGAGAGUUGCACUGAGAGACGAUCAUUUUCAAGGGGCCAAUGGCCCGGUGUUGGCAUGACAAAUUGCCAAAUUGGUAGCUUGUCGGUUUUCCGUUUGUCCAAGAGAGAGUUUUGAACUAUUCAUUUGGGCCAAACAGGUCUAUUCAAUGCGUGAGGCA
RNAcentral lists this unclassified non-coding RNA (214 nucleotides) under Hevea brasiliensis (rubber tree). The record is from RNAcentral. Lineage: Eukaryota; Viridiplantae; Streptophyta; Magnoliopsida; Malpighiales; Euphorbiaceae.